UCGAGAAUCUUUCGCAAUGGGCGAAAGCCUGACGAAGCGACGCCGCGUGAGCGAAGAAGGCCUUCGGGUUGUAAAGCUCUUUCGCUUGGGAACAAGAGAGGAUAGCGAAUACCUAUCUAAUUUGAGGGUACCAGGUAAAGAAGCACCGGCUAACUCCGUGCCAGCAGCUGCGGUAAUACGGAGGGUGCAAGCGUUAAUCGGAUUUAUUGGGCGUAAAGAGCACGUAGGCGGAAAUGUAAGUCAGAUGUGAAAUCCCGGAGCUCAACUCCGGAACUGCAUUUGAAACUCCAUUUCUAGAGGGAUGACGGAGAAAACGGAAUUCCACAUGUAGCGGUGAAAUGCGUAGAUAUGUGGAAGAACACCGGUGGCGAAAGCGGUUUUCUAGUUUUCACCUGACGCU
This 400-nucleotide ribosomal RNA is filed under the name uncultured bacterium. RNAcentral describes it as "bacterial SSU rRNA". It matches the Rfam family "Bacterial small subunit ribosomal RNA", at positions 355 to 747 of the family's 1533-position model. The record is from RNAcentral.